GACGAACGCUGGCGGCGCGCUUAACACAUGCAAGUCGAACGGAAAGGCCCUGCUUUUGUGGGGUGCUCGAGUGGCGAACGGGUGAGUAACACGUGAGUAACCUGCCCUUGACUUUGGGAUAACUUCAGGAAACUGGGGCUAAUACCGGAUAGGAGCUCCUGCUGCAUGGUGGGGGUUGGAAAGUUUCGGCGGUUGGGGAUGGACUCGCGGCUUAUCAGCUUGUUGGUGGGGUAGUGGCUUACCAAGGCUUUGACGGGUAGCCGGCCUGAGAGGGUGACCGGCCACAUUGGGACUGAGAUACGGCCCAGACUCCUACGGGAGGCAGCAGGGGGGAAUAUUGCACAAUGGGCGGAAGCCUGAUGCAGCAACGCCGCGUGCGGGAUGACGGCCUUCGGGUUGUAAACCGCUUUCGCCUGUGACGAAGCGUGAGUGACGGUAAUGGGUAAAGAAGCACCGGCUAACUACGUG
Molecule: ribosomal RNA, 468 nt
Filed under: uncultured bacterium
Lineage: Bacteria
Description: partial 16S ribosomal RNA
Rfam family: Bacterial small subunit ribosomal RNA
Source: RNAcentral